RNAcentral lists this non-coding RNA (48 nucleotides) under Schistosoma margrebowiei. The record is from RNAcentral. Lineage: Eukaryota; Metazoa; Platyhelminthes; Trematoda; Strigeidida; Schistosomatidae.
AUUCAUCUGACGAGUCCCAAAUAGGACGAAACAUGCGUUAAACUCGAU